AACGAACGCUGGCGGCAUGCCUAACACAUGCAAGUCGAACGAGACCUUCGGGUCUAGUGGCGCACGGGUGCGUAACGCGUGGGAACCUGCCCUUAGGUUCGGAAUAACUCCCCGAAAGGGGUGCUAAUACCGGAUAAUGUCUUCGGACCAAAGAUUUAUCGCCUUUGGAUGGGCCCGCGUUGGAUUAGCUAGUUGGUAGGGUAAAAGCCUACCAAGGCGACGAUCCAUAGCUGGUCUGAGAGGAUGAUCAGCCACACUGGGACUGAGACACGGCCCAGACUCCGACGGGAGGCAGCAGUGGGGAAUAUUGGACAAUGGGCGAAAGCCUGAUCCAGCAAUGCCGCGUGAGUGAUGAAGGCCUGAGGGUUGUAAAGCUCUUUUACCCGGGAUGAUAAUGACAGUACCGGGAGAAUAAGCUCCGGCUAACUCCG
Molecule: ribosomal RNA, 431 nt
Filed under: uncultured bacterium
Lineage: Bacteria
Description: partial 16S ribosomal RNA
Rfam family: Bacterial small subunit ribosomal RNA
Source: RNAcentral